ACGGGUGAGUAACAUGUGGGAAUCUACCUGAAGGUUCGGAAUAACUGCGGGAAACUGUAGCUAAUACCGGAUGUGUCUGCAAAGAGAAAGAUUUAUCGCCUUCAGAUGAGCCCGCACUAGAUUAGCUAGUUGGUGAGGUAAUUGCUCCACCAAGGCUACGAUCUAUAGCUGAUUUGAGAGGAUGAUCAGCCACACUGGGACUGAGACACGGCCCAGACUCCUACGGGAGGCAGCAGUAGGGAAUAUUGGACAAUGGGGGAAACCCUGAUCCAGCAAUGCCGCGUGAGUGAAGAAGGCCUUCGGGUUGUAAAGCUCUUUCAUCAAUGAUGAUAAUGACAUUAGUUGAAGAAGAAGCCCCGGCUAACUUCGUGCCAGCAGCCCGCGGUAAUACGAAGGGGGCCUAGCGUUUGUUCGGAAAUCACUGGGCGUAAAAGCGGUAUGUAGGCGGAUCAAAAAGUUUAGAUGUGGAAAUCCCCUGGGGCUCAACCCAGGAAACUGCAUUU
Molecule: ribosomal RNA, 503 nt
Filed under: uncultured bacterium
Lineage: Bacteria
Description: bacterial SSU rRNA
Rfam family: Bacterial small subunit ribosomal RNA
Source: RNAcentral